AAGGCGCUCUCCCGAGCAGA
Molecule: unclassified non-coding RNA, 20 nt
Filed under: Mus musculus (house mouse)
Lineage: Eukaryota; Metazoa; Chordata; Mammalia; Rodentia; Muridae
Description: oocyte_clustered_small_RNA10932
Source: RNAcentral